UGGAUGAGAGGAUUGUAUAGCAUGGACCAACAUAAAUUCAUCCAUGUUGGACAUAGCGGAAAAGGCAGGAGUAAACGUGAGGCACGGCAACAUACCAAUGGAUAUGAUCCAAAUGGACAUACCCGAAAGCUAGUACAGAAACUUGUGAACCGAAAGAUGAAACUUACACAAGACCGUUGAAGAUACUAAUGGUAUGUUUCUUUUUAUUGUAACCGUCUAUAUUAAAAGUAAUAUUAAAAAAAAAAUGCUUUACUAUAACCCACUUUUACUCACGGUUUUGAAAUCAAAAUCUAAUAUUUCAUUUAACUCUAAUAUGAGCUUGAUAAAUAUGAUGUACACACUUUUUUAAAAUUGAUGCCUUCAAUUAUGUUGAAGGUUUCAGUCUCAUUACAAAUUGCUAUUGUCAGGCGUCUUUGUUCUCUUUAAGUCAAAACAUAUUAUACUAGUAAGUGUACAGAAUUUAUUCUUGAUUACACAUUUUUAUGUGUAAUUUCUUACCUGUAUAAGGAAAUCAAUUUUCAAUAAAACUGAACUCUUUAAGAAGAACUUAAAGUAAAAACUAAAGAAGCACGCUAGGGAACAAAAUCAGACAUUUUCAUGAUAAAUAAGUCGGUAAAAAAUGACUAUUUUAUAUUUUGUUGAAAAGAGAGGGAUGGAUUGGAGACCGGAAAUAUAUUUGUGGAUUGACUUCAUUUUUAUACAUUGCUUUUUUUCUGUGGCUUUUCUUUGAUUCUCUAGUUAAAAUGUGAAAUCAUUUUAACACAUAUGUCUUGAUUACUAUGUAAAUACUUUAUUAUUGUACAAAAUUGUUAAUACUUGUAAAAUCUUCGAUCAGAAGGAAAUAAAGUCAAUACUUUCAUAUUUCAGAAAAAAAUACUGGAACACGACACUACGGACACAAUAAGGAAAGAACGACGCAAAUGGACAUGGAUGAACAUGAUGAUAGUGGAUGGUUUCCAAGAAAAAUGGAAUCAGUGGCAAAAUUGAUCGAAAACAUUUUAAUAGUUGAAAAUAUUACUAAGUCUUAUUUCAAAGAACAGUUUUGCAGAUUUUAGUUGCUUUAUUACUAUAACACAACUAAAUGUAUAAUUGUGAAUGUUUUUCACAUGAAUAAAAAUUGGUAAAUAGAUCAUUUUUGUUUUAUAAAAAAAAUAUAAAAUACUCGCC
RNAcentral lists this long non-coding RNA (1167 nucleotides) under Mytilus galloprovincialis (Mediterranean mussel). Lineage: Eukaryota; Metazoa; Mollusca; Bivalvia; Mytilida; Mytilidae. The record is from RNAcentral.